RNAcentral lists this ribosomal RNA (1232 nucleotides) under metagenome. Its description in RNAcentral is "bacterial LSU rRNA". It matches the Rfam family "Bacterial large subunit ribosomal RNA", at positions 1564 to 2805 of the family's 2925-position model. The record is from RNAcentral.
UGAUGACGAGACGCUAAGGCGUUGAAGCAGUGUAUGUCAGACUUCCAAGAAAAGCUCGCAAUGUCACAAAUAAAAAGUGCCUGUACCAUAACCGACACAGGUGGGUAGGUAGAGUAUACUAAGGGGCGCGAGAUAACUCUCUCUAAGGAACUCGGCAAAAUGACUCCGUAACUUCGGGAGAAGGAGUGCCUUAUUUAUAAGGUUGCAAUAACAAGAUCCAAGCAACUGUUUAUCAAAAACACAGGUCUCCGCUAAGUCGUAAGACGAUGUAUGGGGGCUGACGCCUGCCCAGUGCCAGAAGGUUAAAGAAGUUGGUUAGUGUAUGCGAAGCUGAUGACUGAAGCCCUGGUGAACGGCGGCCGUAACAAUAACGGUCCUAAGGUAGCGAAAUUCCUUGUCGGGUAAGUUCCGACCCGCACGAAAGGCGUAAUGAUUUGGAUACUGUCUCGGAGAGAGGCUCGGUGAAAUAGACUUGUCUGUGAAGAUGCGGACUACCUGCACCAGGACAGAAAGACCCUAUGAAGCUUUACUGUAACUUGAAAUUGGAAUUGGACUUUGCUUGCGCAGUAUAGGUGGGAAGCGUUGAAAAUAUUCUUGCGGGAGUAUUGGAGCUAUCAGUGAGAUACCACUCUUGUAAUGUUAGAUUUCUAACUUUGAACCAUAAUCUGGUCAAAGAACAGUUUCAGGUGGGCAGUUUGACUGGGGCGGUCGCCUCCCAAAUGGUAACGGAGGCGUACAAAGGUUUCCUCUGAACGGAUAGAAAUCGUAUCUAGAGUGUAAAGGCAUAAGGAAGCUUGACUGUGAGACCUACAAGUCGAGCAGGGACGAAAGUCGGUCUUAGUGAUCUGACGGUACUGAGUGGAAAGGCCGUCACUCAACGGAUAAAAGUUACUCUAAGGAUAACAGGCCGAUCUCCCCCAAGAGUUCACAUCGACGGGGAGGUUUGGCACCUCGAUGUCGGCUCAUCGCAUCCUGGGGCGGUAGUACGUCCCAAGGGUUGGGCUGUUCGCCCAUGAAAGCGGUACGCGAGCUGGGUUCAGAACGUCGUGAGACAGUUCGGUCCAUAUCCGGUGUAGGCGCUAGAAUAUUGAGAGGAGCCUUCUUUAGUACGAGAGGACCGAGAAGGACACACCGCUGGUGUACCAGUUAUCGUGCCAACGGUAAACGCUGGGUAGCUAUGUGUGGAGUGGAUAACCGCUGAAAGCAUCUAAGUGGGAAGCCCACCUCGAGAU